Molecule: long non-coding RNA, 336 nt
Organism: Oryzias latipes (Japanese medaka)
Lineage: Eukaryota; Metazoa; Chordata; Actinopteri; Beloniformes; Adrianichthyidae
Source: RefSeq, a predicted model, not a curated record
AUGGUGCCUCUGGCAGACUCCUCCCCCUCCAGCACUGUUUCACUCUUCUCCUGAUUGCCACCAGCUGCUGUCACUCUCCUCAUCAUCACUUCUGCUCUUAAGGAGCUCCAACGCCUCAAGCCGACGCCAGAUCGUUAACCCUUACGGAAACCACGUUACGAGUGACACCAGUGUGGGUCAUCAGUUAAGCCGUUCCAGUGAACCGGAAGACUCCUCGCCGUACGCUGACCGCGUUAUCACCUCCAGCCACGCCACAAGCCAUCUUCACAUUGGGACCUCGCCGGGACUAAAUCUCAGCCUCACACGGAGAAUCAAUAAACGAUUACUCAUCUGCCA